GGGGAUGUAGCUCAGUUGGUUAGAGUGUCGGCCUGUCACGCCGGAGGUCGCGGGUUCGAGUCCCGUCAUCCUCGCCA
This 77-nucleotide transfer RNA is filed under the name Hyphomicrobiales bacterium. RNAcentral's name for it is "tRNA-Asp". It matches the Rfam family "tRNA". From Rfam's summary of the family: Transfer RNA (tRNA) molecules are approximately 80 nucleotides in length. Their secondary structure includes four short double-helical elements and three loops (D, anti-codon, and T loops). Lineage: Bacteria; Pseudomonadati; Pseudomonadota; Alphaproteobacteria; Hyphomicrobiales. The record is from RNAcentral.